CCCCGGCCCGGCCGUCCCGAGCGGGGGCUGACAGGACGCAGCCCAUCUGGGCCGGAGGGCAGGGCCGGCGGGAGGUGAUCGGCUUUCCUUCGGUUUCCCAGGGAGGAGGAAGGUCUGGGGUGGGGCGCAGGUGGGGGUCUCCCCUACCUCCCUCCCCUCGUCCCUCCUCCCCUUUGCCAAGUGAUCAGAGAGGCUUCCUGGCUGCACCUUCGCGGAGGAGAGCCAGGGUGGGCAGUGAGGUUGCGAGCCCAGGCCAGGGGUCGCUGGGUCUAGCAGCCAUUCAUGCCAGGAAAAAAACAAACAAACAAACAAAACCCCGGAAAACAAAAAACAGUGGUGUGGCGCAGUCCGACCUAAUGGCGUUCAGAGAAGCCCACCUUCCCAUAUCUGCCCUAGGAAGGCUUGAAUAACCCAGUGGUACCUGCUUGUUCAUGCAACCUGCUGCCUCCACCCAGAGCGGCCACUCCUUUCCUCCCUCCCUUCCCGGAAGAUGCUGAGGAUGACAGCAUUUAGCUUGACUCUUCUGUUUCUUUGGCAGAACAGUUAGAGGCCAGACUGGCCUGUGAAGGCAUCCCCUUCCUUCUUCCUCUGCUCAGGAGAAAACUUACAAACUUUUAUAUGUGCGAGGCAGAUGAGCUGGGAACCUGGAAGUGGGUUGCAUCUGAUUCUAAAAGUUCCUCCCUCUCGCUGGCAUUACCUUAUGCUGCCACAAAGUGGUGAGUUAGAGAUUUGCCUGGGCUGGGUGGGCUUUACCUUCCAUUCAUUACACAGCAUGUUACAGAUUGGAGCAAGGGAACGGGCUUGUCUCUGGAAAGGUGAUGAGAGAAACGCUGUGUGGUUAGCAUGCUACCUACAUCCCACAUUGCCCAUGCAGACCAGUGCACUUUCUUACAUUUUCCCUCAGGCCUCAAUACUGUCAGAUUCAGAAGAUUUAGGACUUUUUUUCUUUUUUCUUUUCUUUCUUUCUUUCUUUCUUUUUUUUUUUUUUUGUGCUCUAGGACAGCAGUCCCCAGCCUUUUUGGUACCAGGGACCAGUUUCAUGGAAGAAAAAUUUUCCACAUCCCAGACUGGGGAUGGGGGGGAUGUUGUUGGGAGGAGGGGCAUGCAGGGCUCAGGUGGUGAUGUGCACCUGUUUCCUAACAGGCCAUGGACCAGGGGUUGGGGACCGCAGCUCUAGGAGAUGACUAAAAUAAGGAAGUUCUGCUAUGUGGACAUUGAGGCUUGGUGGGUCUGUGGACCUGUCAUCUAGCUCCCAUCAUCCACUGGCUCAGGUCCCUGUAAGGCCAUCCAUCCUUUUAUGGUAGAGAGAGGACAGGCAUGUGGCCAGGGACAGUUGAGGGGCGUGUGGGCCAGCCUUUCACAGGAGAGGGUUUUUGAGAUGGUCCUAGGAUCUGUGUAGUUGUCCUAAAUAUUGGCCACCAGUGGGCUCUCAGACCUGGCAGGUCUGGCCUCUUUGGCCCAGCAGGCUCUUCCUGUGAGCAGUGGGUCCUGGGUUGAGAUUCAGGGUGGCAGUGGGAGAGGAGCUGGCAGGCCUCAAGGAGGCCUCUGUAUUGUGGUCAGAUCAUCCCAGACGCUCACUUGUGAGACACCUGGCUGAAGCAGCUUGGCAUAAACCUACAGGGGACUCGUGGAAGCUGGGAUGCCCUGGCUCAGAGGUGCGGAACUGAGGGGGGUAGGAGUAGAGGCAGCUGCCAUCCCCUUUGCCUGGAGUAGCUGAGCCGGCAGCAGACCUCUUUGGUCACAGGUGACGGGAGCAGGUGUCCCAGCCCUGAGCACCUUUCCCUUCCCUGUUGUGGUUAUGUCCGUGUGGUGAGUGCUGUGACAGCAGGGAGAGGGCCCAGGGAAUGGCUACUUGUUCCUGCCUCAAGUUCACGAUUUCUCUCUUCCCUACAGAACCGAUCACUGGGGACGGCAGAGCCUCCCUGGCAUUGCUGGGACCCUGCCUUGAAGAGCCCCCAUGUCGUGUAGACAGAGCCUUGUAGUCUGUCUUCUUGGUUAAUGACUUGGGCUGUCUGAGCAGUCCUCUUCUGUGCCUUGUCUGAGAUCCUUGUCCAUCCCUGAGAUCGGGCAGCUUCUCUCUCUGGGUUGGGUCACCUUAAGCGGGAAACUGAAGCCAUUACUCUCCAAACCCUGUUUCAUCUUCCCAAGCAUGUCGGAAAGCUGGCAGCAGCCGCCACAGACGCAGCCGCAGCAGCCGCAGCCACCGCAGCCGCAGCACCACGCGGAGCCACCGCCGGCCCUAGCCGAGCACACGCUGCCCCCGGGCACGGCUGAGAACCCCCUGGGCUGUGCCGUCUACGGCAUCCUCCUGCAGCCCGACCCGGGCCUGCAGCCCCCACAGCACGCGCCCCUUCAGGCAGCAGGCGAGCCAGGCCCCAAAUGCGGUGUGUGUGGUCACGACCUGGCACACCUGUCCAGCCCACACGAGCACCAGUGCCUGGCAGGCCACGACCGCUCGUUCCAGUGCACGCAGUGUCUCAAGAUCUUCCACCAGGCGACGGACCUGCUGGAGCACCAGUGCGUGCAGGCUGAGCAGAAGCCUUUCGUCUGCGGCGUCUGCAAGAUGGGCUUCUCGCUGCUCACCUCGCUGGCCCAGCACCACAGUGCGCACACCGGCCUGGUGAAAUGCUCCAUCUGCGAGAAGACCUACAAACCAGCGGAGGCAGCCGAGCCGGCCACCACUGCCGCCCCAUCGCUUCCCCCGGCUCCGCAGCCGGCUGCUGUGGCCCCUGCGGAACAGGCCGACAAGCCCUACAGCUGCCCCAUCUGCCAGAAGCCCUUCAAGCACCUGUCGGAGCUCUCCCGGCACGAGCGGAUCCACACGGGCGAGAAGCCGUACAAGUGCACGCUGUGUGACAAGAGCUUCAGCCAGUCCUCCCACCUGGUGCACCACAAGCGCACGCACAGCUCCGAGCGGCCCUACAAGUGCGCGGUCUGCGAGAAGACCUUCAAACACCGCUCCCACCUGGUGCGCCACAUGUACGCGCACUCGGGCGAGCACCACCUGUUCCGCUGCAACGUGUGCGAGCUGCAUUUCAAGGAGUCGUCGGAGCUGCUGCAGCACCCGUGCACGCCGAGCGGGGAGCGGCCCUUCCGCUGCGGCGAGUGCCAGAAGGCCUUCAAGCGGCCGUCGGACCUGCGGCAGCACGAGCGCACCCACAGCGCCGAGCGGCCCUUCAAGUGCGACCUGUGCCCCAUGGGCUUCAAGCAGCAGUACGCGCUCAUGCGGCACCGGCGCACGCACAAGACCGAGGAGCCCUUCAAGUGCGGCCUGUGCGAGAAGGGCUUCGGGCAGCCCAGCCACCUGCUCUACCACCAGCACGUGCACACCCUCGAGACUCUCUUCAAGUGCCCCGUGUGCCAGAAGGGCUUCGACCAGUCGGCCGAGCUGCUGCGGCACAAGUGCCUGCCCGGCGCGGCCGAGCGGCCCUUCAAGUGCCCCGUGUGCAACAAGGCCUACAAGCGGGCGUCGGCGCUGCAAAAGCACCAGCUGGCCCACUGCGCGGCGGCCGAGAAGCCCCUGCGCUGCACCAUGUGCGAGCGCCGCUUCUUCUCCUCCUCGGAGUUCGUGCAGCACCGCUGCGACCCCGCCCGCGAGAAGCCGCUCAAGUGCCCGGACUGCGAGAAGCGCUUCAAGUACGCGUCAGACCUGCAGCGGCACCGGCGGGUGCACACAGGCGAGAAGCCUUACAAGUGCCCCAACUGCGACAAGGCCUUCAAGCAGCGGGAGCAUCUCAACAAGCACCAGGGCGUGCACGCCCGCGAGCAGCAGUUCAAGUGCGUGUGGUGCGGGGAGCGCUUCCUGGACGUGGCCCUGCUGCAGGAGCACAGCGCGCAGCACAGCGCGGCCGCGGCGGCCGCCGAGGGCGCCUACCAGGUAGCCGCCUGCUUGCCCUGAGGCGCCACGGCCCCUGCAGGCCUGCCCCAAGUCCGCGCCCUGGGCCCACCAGGCCCAGCCCAGCCAGCCCCCCACCCAGCUCCGUGUUCUGCGGCCCUGGGAGUGAGGAUCUGCUUUCUUGAGAGCCAUCAGCCUCCCUUAUUUCUGGAGGAUUGGAACCAGGCUGGAAGUCAAGUGGCCUCUCCCUGCCCCAAGGAUGGGGUGAUGCCAGCCCAACCUCCCCAAGCUUUCAACCUCAUUAGAACCAGAUAGGUUAGAACAGAGGAUGGUCCUGGGAGGUCUGGGAGAAGGGCCCGGACCCCAGAGGUGGGCUGGGUGUGGGGCAUCAAGUUGCUGUGUGGGGGAGAAGGCCAGCUCUGUGAUGUAGUCCUGGGGGCCAGAAGGGCAGACCAUGGGCCACAGCCCUCUGUCUGGUCCAGCCAAGGGCAGUGUGACCCCUGGUUUCUAAGAUGUGCAGGAUGGGGGUCUUUGGUCUGGAUCUGCCUAGAGACCAGUGGGCUCAGCCAGAAGGGAAAGCAGAGAGGUUGCUGUGACACCUCAGCCAAGGGACAGUGCCAUCCAUGGAGAAAAGAGGAAAGGCAGCCUGCUUGUGCCGAGGGCUAAUCCCACAGUUUUGGAAACACCCCUCCUACCUUUGCAGCAUGGGUCCGGUGUGUGGUGGGGAACGCGCCCUCCAGCAGGCAAAACUGCUGGUGUGAAAGGAGGGGAUCACUAGACCACCCAGGGCUGGGAGGAAUCAGGACCUAGCCCGUGACCUUCCCAGCAGAGGCAACGUCCUCUUCCUGAAUUGUAUGAACCAAAGUGUCGGGGGCUCAGCCCCAAUCAGCUUGCCCCAGCCUGCCCCAGAUCCAAGACCAGGCCUGGGCACCCAGUGUGGGGGAACAGCCUCUGACCCCACAGUGCCCUCCCAGCCCAUGGGAAUACCACCCCCCCAUCAGCCUGGCUGCUGGCCGAGACCCCAGGGGUCCUGUGCUGCCAAGGUGUCCUGGACUGCAUCCAGCUACUUCAAAGGCCAGAGCAUUCUUUGGGUCCUCCUAGAGUCCCUCUAGGUGUCUGGCUGUCCACAGGGCCCAUGGAGCAGAGGGUGCCCAGGGCAUGGGGCGGGGGAGCCGAAGGAGCAAGUAGGUUAAGGAAACCAGAGGUGCCUGGCAGAUGGAUGGAGUUGACUGCGUCGCUGGACAGCCAGGGUCCCCCUUGGGCAGCCGAGAAGGACCUUGAUUAGCAAAAUAAUCUUUCUGAAGCCAGCUCUGCCUCCUGCCCUCUUCCAGCGCCGCCUCUCCCUGGUCGUGGGUCUUGAAAGAAGACCAGUCAGUGCACACCAAGGGCCCAGAGGGGCAGGGAGAUGCCACCUUGCUUCUCUCGUACUGUGAGAAGUCUGAACAGCUGCGUUCGCCUCCGCUAUCAGACUGGGUUCCCUCCUGUGCCUGCAGAGAGGGGCUGCUCCUUCCCUCGGUGCUGGCUCUCUGUCACAAUGCCUCAAAAGACAUGGAACCCAGGCUUACAACAGUCGCAACUGCUAAUUUGUUCCUUUCAUUUUGCUUUCUAAAAGCAGUUUGUUAUACUAUUCAUAUCAUUGUAUAGUUUAAUUUCAUGUCAUUUUGGAUCUUAUAUAACAAUGUGAGAAUCUGGAUUUUUAAAAAGAAUGACUCCAUUUUCGGUAGCCACUUUUGAUGUUAAUGUAUAGUGAGCCAAUGUAUGCUUUAGAAGUGAAGACACUGACCAUCAGAGACCAAA
Lemur catta (Ring-tailed lemur) is the source of this 5632-nucleotide RNA transcript. It is a transcript of the gene named zinc finger protein 319, with no coding region annotated. Lineage: Eukaryota; Metazoa; Chordata; Mammalia; Primates; Lemuridae. The transcript has 2 exons. The record is from RefSeq and is a predicted model, not a curated record.